UACGUAGGGCGCAAGCGUUGUCCGGAAUUAUUGGGCGUAAAGAGCUCGUAGGCGGCCUGUUGCGUCCGCUGUGAAAUCCCGGGGCCCAACCCCGGGCCUGCAGUGGAUACGGGCUGGCUGGAGGCAGGCAGGGGAGAUCGGAAUUCCUGGUGUAGCGGUGAAAUGCGCAGAUAUCAGGAGGAACACCGGUGGCGAAGGCGGGUCUCUGGGCCAUUACUGACGCUGAGGAGCGAAAGCGUGGGGAGCGAACAGG
This 253-nucleotide ribosomal RNA is filed under the name uncultured bacterium. RNAcentral describes it as "partial 16S ribosomal RNA". It matches the Rfam family "Bacterial small subunit ribosomal RNA", at positions 524 to 776 of the family's 1533-position model. The record is from RNAcentral.